AUUGAACGCUGGCGGCAGGCUUAACACAUGCAAGUCGAGCGAGCGGCGGACGGGUGAGUAAUGUCUGGGAAACUGCCUGCUGGAGGGGGAUAACUACUGGAACCGGUAGCUAAUACCGCAUACCAUCAGAUGUGCCCAGAUGGGAUUGGCUAGUAGGUGGGGUAAUGGCUCACCUAGGCGACGAUCACUAGCUGGUCGGAGAGGAUGACGAGCCACACUGGAACUGAGACACGGUCAAGACUCCUACGGGAGGCAGAAGUGGGGAAGAUUGGAAAAUGGGCGCAAGCCUGAUGCAGCGAUGCCGCGUGUGUGAAGAAGGCCUUCGGGUUGUAAAGCACUUUCAGCGAGGAGGCGUUACUCGCAGAAGAAGCACCGGCUAACUCCGUGCCAGCAGCCGCGGUAAUUC
RNAcentral lists this ribosomal RNA (406 nucleotides) under uncultured bacterium. RNAcentral's name for it is "partial 16S ribosomal RNA". It matches the Rfam family "Bacterial small subunit ribosomal RNA", at positions 30 to 526 of the family's 1533-position model. The record is from RNAcentral.